RNAcentral lists this ribosomal RNA (419 nucleotides) under delta proteobacterium SCGC AAA240-O02. RNAcentral describes it as "SSU rRNA". It matches the Rfam family "Bacterial small subunit ribosomal RNA", at positions 514 to 928 of the family's 1533-position model. Lineage: Bacteria; Deltaproteobacteria. The record is from RNAcentral.
GCCGCGGUAAUACAUAGGGUGCGAGCGUUGUUCGGAAUUACUGGGCGUAAAGGGCGCGCAGGCGGAAUAGUAAGUCGGAGGUGAAAGCCCGGGGCUCAACCCCGGAGGGUCUUUCGAAACUGCUAAUCUAGAGAGGGUCAGGGGCCGGCAGAAUUCCUGGUGUAGAGGUGAAAUUCGUAGAUAUCAGGAGGAAUACCGGUGGCGAAGGCGGCCGGCUGGGGCCACUCUGACGCUGAGGCGCGAAAGCGUGGGGAGCAAACAGGAUUAGAUACCCUGGUAGUCCACGCCGUAAACGAUGAGCACUGGAUGUCCGGAGGGUUCGACCCUUCUGGGUGUCUCAGCUAACGCAUUAAGUGCUCCGCCUGGGGAGUACGGUCGCAAGACUAAAACUCAAAGGGAAUUGGCGGGGGAGCACGGUU